CUGACUUUAGUUUAAGUUAGAAUAGGGGUUUUGGGGAUUCUUGGUCUCUUUUUUGA
Molecule: transfer RNA, 56 nt
Filed under: Rhinebothrium sp. 1
Lineage: Eukaryota; Metazoa; Platyhelminthes; Cestoda; Rhinebothriidea; Rhinebothriidae
Description: tRNA-Pro
Source: RNAcentral